UGGGGAAUUUUGCACAAUGGGGGAAACCCUGAUGCAGCGACGCCGCGUGAUUUAGAAGGCCUUCGGGUUGUAAAAAUCUUUUCUAUGGGAAGAAAAUGACAGUACCAUAGGAAUAAGGACCGGCUAAUUACGUGCCAGCAGCCGCGGUAAUACGUAAGGUCCGAGCGUUGUCCGGAAUCAUUGGGCGUAAAGGGUACGUAGGCGGGUAAGCAAGUUAGAAGUGAAAUCCUAUAGCUCAACUAUAGUAAGCUUUUAAAACUGCUCAUCUUGAGGUAUGGAAGGGAAAGUGGAGUUCCUAGUGUAGCGGUGAAAUGCGCAGGUAUUAGGAGGAAUACCGGUGGCGAAGGCGACUUUCUGGCCAUAACCUGACGCUGAGGUACGAAAGCGUGGGUAGCAAACAGG
RNAcentral lists this ribosomal RNA (402 nucleotides) under bacterium. RNAcentral describes it as "partial 16S ribosomal RNA". It matches the Rfam family "Bacterial small subunit ribosomal RNA", at positions 355 to 776 of the family's 1533-position model. The record is from RNAcentral.